UAAGGGUUAGUUUCAGUUAGAAUCUUUAGUUGUCAAUUAAAAGGAGGAAGAAGAGAAGAUCCACUCUU
Molecule: transfer RNA, 68 nt
Filed under: Diversibipalium mayottensis
Lineage: Eukaryota; Metazoa; Platyhelminthes; Tricladida; Geoplanidae
Description: tRNA-Asp
Source: RNAcentral